The submitters of this non-coding RNA (83 nucleotides) gave its source as unclassified sequences. The record is from Rfam.
UGAUAGCGUUGAAGCGUGAGGUUGCUGUAGAAAUUCUACAGGUUUUCCGUGGAGCGAAUGUCAAGUUAGAAAACUGGCGACAA